AUUGAACGCUGGCGGCAGGCUUAACACAUGCAAGUCGAGCGGAAACGAUGGGAGCUUGCUCCCAGGCGUCGAGCGGCGGACGGGUGAGUAACACUUAGGAAUCUACCUAGUAGUGGGGGAUAGCUCGGGGAAACUCGAAUUAAUACCGCAUACGACCUACGGGAGAAAGGGGGCAACUUGUUGCUCUCGCUAUUAGAUGAGCCUAAGUCGGAUUAGCUAGUUGGUGGGGUAAAGGCCUACCAAGGCGACGAUCUGUAGCUGGUCUGAGAGGAUGAUCAGCCACACCGGGACUGAGACACGGCCCGGACUCCUACGGGAGGCAGCAGUGGGGAAUAUUGGACAAUGGGGGCAACCCUGAUCCAGCCAUGCCGCGUGUGUGAAGAAGGCCUUUUGGUUGUAAAGCACUUUAAGCAGUGAAGAAGACCAUACGGUUAAUACCCGUAUGCGAUGACAUUAGCUGCAGAAUAAGCACCGGCUAACUCUGUGCCAGCAGCCGCGGUAAUACAGAGGGUGCAAGCGUUAAUCGGAAUUACUGGGCGUAAAGCGAGCGUAGGUGGCUUGAUAAGUCAGAUGUGAAAUCCCCGGGCUUAACCUGGGAACUGCAUCUGAUACUGUUAGGCUAGAAUAGGUGAGAGGAAGGUAGAAUUCCAGGUGUAGCGGUGAAAUGCGUAGAGAUCUGGAGGAAUACCGAUGGCGAAGGCAGCCUUCUGGCAUCAUAUUGACACUGAGGUUCGAAAGCGUGGGUAGCAAACAGG
RNAcentral lists this ribosomal RNA (755 nucleotides) under uncultured bacterium. Its description in RNAcentral is "bacterial SSU rRNA". It matches the Rfam family "Bacterial small subunit ribosomal RNA", at positions 28 to 776 of the family's 1533-position model. The record is from RNAcentral.